This 671-nucleotide ribosomal RNA is filed under the name uncultured equine intestinal eubacterium sp. ML06. RNAcentral describes it as "bacterial SSU rRNA". It matches the Rfam family "Bacterial small subunit ribosomal RNA", at positions 797 to 1482 of the family's 1533-position model. The record is from RNAcentral.
GCACAGUAAACGAUGGAUGCUCGCCGUCCGCGAUACACAGUGGGUGGCCAAGCGAAAGCGAUAAGCAUCCCACCUGGGGAGUACGCCGGCAACGGUGAAACUCAAAGGAAUUGACGGGGGCCCGCACAAGCGGAGGAACAUGUGGUUUAAUUCGAUGAUACGCGAGGAACCUUACCCGGGCUUGAAAGUUAGCGACGGACCUGGAAACAGGUCUUCCCUUCGGGGCGCGAAACUAGGUGCUGCAUGGUUGUCGUCAGCUCGUGCCGUGAGGUGUCGGCUUAAGUGCCAUAACGAGCGCAACCCCUGCUUGUAGUUGCCAGCAUUGAGAUGGGGACUCUACAAGGACUGCCACCGCAAGGUGCGAGGAAGGCGGGGAUGACGUCAAAUCAGCACGGCCCUUACGUCCGGGGCGACACACGUGUUACAAUGGGGGGUACAGAGGGAAGCGAUGCGGCGACGCAAAGCGAAUCUCGGAAAGCCCCUCUCAGUUCGGAUCGGAGUCUGCAACUCGACUCCGUGAAGCUGGAUUCGCUAGUAAUCGCGCAUCAGCCAUGGCGCGGUGAAUACGUUCCCGGGCCUUGUACACACCGCCCGUCAAGCCAUGGGAGUCCGGGGUGCCUGAAGUCCGUAACCGGAAGGAGCGGCCUAGGGUAAAACGGAUGACUGGGGCU